UGAUGUGAGGGGGAUCUGGCUGCGACAUCUGUCACCCCAUUGAUUGCCAGGGUUGAUUUGGCUGAUCUGGCUGGCUAGGCAGGUGUCACCAUCCUCCCUCACUGCUCCAUGUGCAUCCCUUCCAAAGCUGCAUGCUCAGUGGAAGAGGAUGGCCUUCCUCAAAUAGAGAUGGAUUGGUCUUCAGUUGAGGGUAUGUGAGUAGCUGUGUUUCUUUGCUAGAAACUCCAAACAAGCUCUCAAAGAAAGGUCUCACCAGAAUAUUGGGGUUGAAAGGUUGACACCUCAGUAUAUAAUUCAAAGUGAAAAGGUGAUGGAAGCAUAAUAUAGGAUGAUGGCAUUCUUU
Molecule: unclassified non-coding RNA, 343 nt
Organism: Erinaceus europaeus (western European hedgehog)
Lineage: Eukaryota; Metazoa; Chordata; Mammalia; Eulipotyphla; Erinaceidae
Gene: 7SK
Rfam family: 7SK RNA
About the family: 7SK was discovered as an abundant small nuclear RNA in the mid-70s but a possible function has only recently been suggested. Two independent studies have found that 7SK RNA binds the CDK9/cyclin T complex (known as elongation factor P-TEFb).
Source: Ensembl